Molecule: transfer RNA, 79 nt
Filed under: Gammaproteobacteria bacterium
Lineage: Bacteria; Pseudomonadati; Pseudomonadota; Gammaproteobacteria
Also listed under: 2 other names
Description: tRNA-Asp
Rfam family: tRNA
About the family: Transfer RNA (tRNA) molecules are approximately 80 nucleotides in length. Their secondary structure includes four short double-helical elements and three loops (D, anti-codon, and T loops).
Source: RNAcentral
GGACCGGUAGUUCAGUUCUGGUUAGAACGCCGCCCUGUCACGGCGGAGGUCGCGGGUUCGAGUCCCGUCCGGUCCGCCA